Molecule: long non-coding RNA, 685 nt
Filed under: Salmo salar (Atlantic salmon)
Lineage: Eukaryota; Metazoa; Chordata; Actinopteri; Salmoniformes; Salmonidae
Description: lncRNA (ENSSSAG00000116302.1)
Rfam family: mir-17 microRNA precursor family (bases 231-307)
Source: RNAcentral
GGUUGAUUUAUGCUAAUGAAGGAGUCGGGGUUGUAGAUAUUUACGUUGGACGGCGGGAGCCGCCCUUCAUUCACCACAUGGUUAAAACCACGAUAUGCCUGGAGCAGUGACAGUAAAGGGCACCCAUUGGGAUGUACACUUGGAAUCCAGCGCCCUGUUCAAGUGAUUGACCCAGAAACAUUCCGUCGUUGGUUUUGGAUAUGUGCAUGGAUGCUUCACUGGCCUAAGUCACUGUAGUGUCAAAGUGCUUACAGUGCAGGUAGUCAUCUAAUAUCUACUGCAGUGAAGGCACUUUAAGCACUAUAGUGGCACGAUGACUGGCUUCAUUGCACACUGAUUGUGUGAACCUUAACUGGUGCUUAUGCUAAGGUGCAUCUAGUGCAGAUAGUGAAGUAGACCAGCACCUACUGCCCUACGUGCUCCUUCUGGCAUAAGGGCCGGGACUCGUCUGGUCUAUGAAAAGUGUAUGAUUUAUCCUUGCAGACCUCUGCUAGUUUUGCAUAGUUGCACUACAAGAGAAAUGGAGUUGUGCAAAUCUAUGCAAAACUGACGGUGGCCUGUGUGUCCAUCUGUCCGGGUGACUUUUUCAAAUGUAUAAUCAGUUGAGCAGCAUGGAGGGCUCUUGGGCAUCCUACACCCUUUUCCACCCACAGCAACGUUAAUGUGUGCAAACGGGUUUCAGCAG